RNAcentral lists this ribosomal RNA (473 nucleotides) under uncultured bacterium. Its description in RNAcentral is "bacterial SSU rRNA". It matches the Rfam family "Bacterial small subunit ribosomal RNA", at positions 28 to 507 of the family's 1533-position model. The record is from RNAcentral.
GACGAACGCUGGCGGCGUGCUUAACACAUGCAAGUCGAACGGACGAGUGAGAUAAGUUUACUUAACUCACAAGUUAGUGGCGGACGGGUGAGUAACACGUGGAUAAUCUACCUGCAACACCGGGAUAACGCUGUGAAAACGGUGCUAAUACCGGAUACGUUCCCUUGUGCGCAUGUAUGAGGGAAGAAAGCUCAGGCGGUUGCAGAUGAGUCCGCGGCUGAUUAGCUAGUUGGUGAGGUAAAGGCUCACCAAGGCGAUGAUCAGUAGCCGGCCUGAGAGGGUGAGCGGCCACACUGGGACUGAGACACGGCCCAGACUCCUACGGGAGGCAGCAGUGGGGAAUCUUCCGCAAUGGGCGCAAGCCUGACGGAGCAACGCCGCGUGGGUGAAGAAGGCCUUCGGGUUGUAAAGCCCUGUCUUAUGGGAAGAAGUCAGUGACGGUACCAUAGGAGGAAGCCACGGCUAACUACGUG